CUAAAGGGUCCAAGUGGGCAGAGGAGUCUAUUCCCACAUUAGCUCAGAGUGGAAUCACAAUUUGAGAUUUGUCCUCCCACCCCCUCUUCUACCUUUUUGGUGCUGUAAGACCAUAAAAAGGAUUAAAGACUCUGACUUGCUGACUGGGGAGCCCUCCAAGUAGGCUUAGAGUAAUGGAGCCCUACAUGUGAACUCUCCUUGGAGAGGGUCUUGUCACAGCUUUCAGCCUGAGAUACUGCUCCUAGGAAAGCACUCCAGAUCCCCAUGGUCACAAGCAGAGGGGAAAGAGGAGCUCAGCUCCUUCUAUACUGGAAGACAGCAGUCCUCCAAGCCAAUACUCUGUCCUGAAGAAGUCUAACCACCUGUGUUUAUAAGAGGAUAUGAAGUAGCAGGGACUCAUCCCCACUUUUACCUACUGCAUGGCUAGCUAUGGCUAUGCUUGAAGACAUAAGGAAUAUAAGCAGUUUGUCUGCUGUCCCAGUUUUCCCUCCCUGGCGGUAGCCCAUCCCUAGGAAGUGGGAUGGACACCACUCAGGAGACAAGCUGAAAAGUCUUACUCUUCUCCUUGUGCCCAAGAGGGGUCUUUACAUCUGUUUCAUUUUCUGGUUAUCCUACCAGGAGUCAUGGGUACAGUGAGUUUAACCCUGUAGAUGCAAUAGCCACAGACAUUUAUUCUAGGUCGACUGGCACUGAACUCUAGCUACUAGCCCAUAUGUAUGUUAUCAGGUCUCUUCUGUCUGGAGUUCAAUUAUACAAGUCUACUCAUUGUUCUGUUCAAGUAUCUUAAAAGCAACUCAGAUUUGAGGGGCCCUGUUGUCAGUACAUCAAUGGCAUCAACGUAAACCCAUCAUCACAAACUGAGAAGUCACAGGUAACCACACAGUGGGAAGCAUUCACAGGCAUGUGAUAGACAU
This is a long non-coding RNA of Mauremys mutica (yellowpond turtle), 914 nucleotides long. RefSeq lists it as uncharacterized. The record is from RefSeq and is a predicted model, not a curated record. NCBI's taxonomy places the organism in Eukaryota, Metazoa, Chordata, Testudines, Geoemydidae. The transcript has 3 exons.